GUCUACAGCCAUACCACCCUGAAUGUGCCGAUCUCAUCUGAUCUCAGAAGCUAAGCAGGAUUGGGCCUGCUUAGUACUUGGAUGGGAGAACGUCUGGAAAUACCGGGUGCUAUAGGCU
RNAcentral lists this ribosomal RNA (118 nucleotides) under Pteropus alecto (black flying fox). The record is from RNAcentral. Lineage: Eukaryota; Metazoa; Chordata; Mammalia; Chiroptera; Pteropodidae.